GAUGAACGCUGGCGGCGUGCCUAAUACAUGCAAGUCGAGCGAACAGACGAGGAGCUUGCUCCUCUGACGUUAGCGGCGGACGGGUGAGUAACACGUGGAUAACCUACCUAUAAGACUGGGAUAACUUCGGGAAACCGGAGCUAAUACCGGAUAAUAUAUUGAACCGCAUGGUUCAAUAGUGAAAGACGGUUUUGCUGUCACUUAUAGCUGGAUCCGCGCCGCAUUAGCUAGUUGGUAAGGUAACGGCUUACCAAGGCAACGAUGCGUAGCCGACCUGAGAGGGUGAUCGGCGACACUGGAGCUGAGACACGGUCCAGACUCCUACGGGAGGCAGCAGUAGGGAAUCUUCCGCAAUGGGCGAAAGCCUGACGGAGCAACGCCGCGUGAGUGAUGAAGGUCUUCGGAUCGUAAAACUCUGUUAUGAGGGAAGAACAAAUGUGUAAGUAACUAUGCACGUCUUGACGGUACCUAAUCAGAAAGCCACGGCUAACUACGUG
This 497-nucleotide ribosomal RNA is filed under the name uncultured bacterium. RNAcentral's name for it is "partial 16S ribosomal RNA". It matches the Rfam family "Bacterial small subunit ribosomal RNA", at positions 28 to 507 of the family's 1533-position model. The record is from RNAcentral.